RNAcentral lists this ribosomal RNA (921 nucleotides) under Filobasidium oeirense. RNAcentral describes it as "eukaryotic LSU rRNA". The stretch from base 292 to 921 matches the Rfam family "Eukaryotic large subunit ribosomal RNA", at positions 1 to 618 of the family's 3401-position model. The record is from RNAcentral. Lineage: Eukaryota; Fungi; Basidiomycota; Tremellomycetes; Filobasidiales; Filobasidiaceae.
UUGCGCUCCUUGGUAUUCCGAGGAGCAUGCCUGUUUGAGUGUCAUGAAACCCUCAAACCCAAGUUUUGGAUUUCGGUCCAUGCUUGAGUUUGGAUUUGGAUGUUUGCCGGUGAUGAACCGACUCAUCUUAAAAGUAUUAGCUGGAUCUGUCUAUAUGACUGGUUUGACUUGGCAUAAUAAGUAUUUUGCUGAGGACAUCUUCGGAUGGCCAGGACCUAGACUACUGUCUGCUAACUAAACCAUCACUUUAAGUGCAUCCUUGGAUGUUACUCAUUGUGUAACUUUGACAUCUGGCCUCAAAUCAGGUAGGACUACCCGCUGAACUUAAGCAUAUCAAUAAGCGGAGGAAAAGAAACUAACAAGGAUUCCCCUAGUAACGGCGAGUGAAGCGGGAAGAGCUCAAAUUUGAAAUCUGGUGGCCUCAGGUCAUCCGAGUUGUAAUCUAUAGAAGUGUUUUCCGUGCUGGCUCAUGUACAAGUCCCUUGGAACAGGGCGUCAUAGAGGGUGAGAAUCCCGUCCUUGACAUGAACUACCAGUGCUCUGUGAUACAUUUUCAACGAGUCGAGUUGUUUGGGAAUGCAGCUCAAAAUGGGUGGUAAAUUCCAUCUAAAGCUAAAUAUUGGCGAGAGACCGAUAGCGAACAAGUACCGUGAGGGAAAGAUGAAAAGCACUUUGGAAAGAGAGUUAAACAGUAUGUGAAAUUGUUGAAAGGGAAACGAUUGAAGUCAGUCGUGCUCUUUGGAUUCAGCCGGUUCUGCCGGUGUACUUCCUUUGAGUGGGGUCAACAUCAGUUUUGAUCGCUGGAUAAAGGCGGGAGGAAUGUAGUACCCUCGGGUAAACUUAUAGCCUCUUGUCACAUACAGUGGUUGGGACUGAGGAACGCAGCAUGCCUUUAAGGCCGGGAUUCGUCCACGUACAUGC